UCUUAUAAUACCCUGAACACACAAAUUGCCAUCUUGUUUUGGAAGCUAAGCAGUGUUAGUCUUGGUUAGGAUUUGGAUGGGAGACCACCACUAAUCUAGGCAUCUUCAGAG
RNAcentral lists this ribosomal RNA (111 nucleotides) under Pogona vitticeps (central bearded dragon). Lineage: Eukaryota; Metazoa; Chordata; Lepidosauria; Squamata; Agamidae. The record is from RNAcentral.